AUUGAACGCUGGCGGCAGGCCUAACACAUGCAAGUCGAGCGGAGCGGCGGACGGGGGAGUAAUGCCUAGGAAUCGGCAUGGUAGUGGGGGAUGACGUCCGGUACCGGGCGCUAAUACCGCAUACUAUCAGAUGAGCCUAGGGCGGAUUAGCUAGUUGGAGGGGUAAAGGUCUACCAAGGCGACGAUCCGUAACUGGUCUGAGAGGAUGAUCAGUCACACUGGAACUGAGACACGGUCCAGACUCCUACGGGAGGCAGCAGUGGGGAAUAUUGGACAAUGGGCGAAAGCCUGAUCCAGCCAUGCCGCGUGUAUGAAGAAGGUCUUCGGGUUGUAAAGCACUUUAAGUUGGGAGGCGUUACCAACAGAAUAAGCACCGGCUAACUCCGUGCCAGCAGCCGCGGUAAUUC
RNAcentral lists this ribosomal RNA (407 nucleotides) under uncultured bacterium. RNAcentral describes it as "partial 16S ribosomal RNA". It matches the Rfam family "Bacterial small subunit ribosomal RNA", at positions 30 to 526 of the family's 1533-position model. The record is from RNAcentral.